AGUGAACGCUGGCGGUAGGCCUAACACAUGCAAGUCGAACGGCAGCACAGUAAGAGCUUGCUCUUACGGGUGGCGAGUGGCGGACGGGUGAGGAAUACAUCGGAAUCUACUUUUUCGUGGGGGAUAACGUAGGGAAACUUACGCUAAUACCGCAUACGACCUACGGGUGAAAGCAGGGGAUCUUCGGACCUUGCGCGAUUGAAUGAGCCGAUGUCGGAUUAGCUAGUUGGCGGGGUAAAGGCCUACCAGGGCGACGAUCCGUAGCCGGUCUGAGAGGGUGAACAGCCACACUGGAAGAGAGGCACGGUCCAGACUCCGACGGGAGGCCGCAGUGGGGAAUAUUGGGCGAUGGGGGAAAGCCUGAUACAGCCAUACCGAGUGGGUGCAGAAGGCCUUCGGGUUGUAAAGCCCUUUUGUUGGGAAAGAAAAGCAGCAGGUUAAUACCCCGCUGUUCUGACGGUACCUAACGAAUAAGCACCGGCUAACUUCGUG
RNAcentral lists this ribosomal RNA (492 nucleotides) under uncultured bacterium. Its description in RNAcentral is "partial 16S ribosomal RNA". It matches the Rfam family "Bacterial small subunit ribosomal RNA", at positions 29 to 507 of the family's 1533-position model. The record is from RNAcentral.